This is a long non-coding RNA of Cydia amplana, 332 nucleotides long. RefSeq lists it as uncharacterized. The record is from RefSeq and is a predicted model, not a curated record. NCBI's taxonomy places the organism in Eukaryota, Metazoa, Arthropoda, Insecta, Lepidoptera, Tortricidae. The transcript has 3 exons.
CGUAUUUCAAGACUCGCGCCACCUAAUUUAUGGGUUCUACAGCAUCUAGUGAAUGGAGUGAAGUUGGUCGCCGCUUACGCCGUGUCCAUAGUGCUCGUUCUAAUUGAACUGACCACCUUCAUACUCGGCCUAACUAUGUUCUCACCCACUGUCUCUAUGAUCUCUAUCGGUUGCCACGGAUCCGCAUGUGCAGCGCUCACAUACGGUGUGGUUGGCAGUUGGCAUUGCGGCUGGGUGUGGCCCAUACUAGUCUUCGGUGCUGCGUUGCCUGCUGCAGCUGAUAUUAUUGCCGCUGCCUCCGCCAUAUGCUCUCUUAGACGAUAGAUUUUAUU